Molecule: ribosomal RNA, 1449 nt
Filed under: Staphylococcus saprophyticus
Lineage: Bacteria; Bacillati; Bacillota; Bacilli; Caryophanales; Staphylococcaceae
Description: bacterial SSU rRNA
Rfam family: Bacterial small subunit ribosomal RNA
Source: RNAcentral
GGGGGGGGAGCUAUACAUGCAGUCGAGCGAACAGAUAAGGAGCUUGCUCCUUUGACGUUAGCGGCGGACGGGUGAGUAACACGUGGGUAACCUACCUAUAAGACUGGGAUAACUUCGGGAAACCGGAGCUAAUACCGGAUAACAUUUGGAACCGCAUGGUUCUAAAGUGAAAGAUGGUUUUGCUAUCACUUAUAGAUGGACCCGCGCCGUAUUAGCUAGUUGGUAAGGUAACGGCUUACCAAGGCGACGAUACGUAGCCGACCUGAGAGGGUGAUCGGCCACACUGGAACUGAGACACGGUCCAGACUCCUACGGGAGGCAGCAGUAGGGAAUCUUCCGCAAUGGGCGAAAGCCUGACGGAGCAACGCCGCGUGAGUGAUGAAGGGUUUCGGCUCGUAAAACUCUGUUAUUAGGGAAGAACAAACGUGUAAGUAACUGUGCACGUCUUGACGGUACCUAAUCAGAAAGCCACGGCUAACUACGUGCCAGCAGCCGCGGUAAUACGUAGGUGGCAAGCGUUAUCCGGAAUUAUUGGGCGUAAAGCGCGCGUAGGCGGUUUCUUAAGUCUGAUGUGAAAGCCCACGGCUCAACCGUGGAGGGUCAUUGGAAACUGGGAAACUUGAGUGCAGAAGAGGAAAGUGGAAUUCCAUGUGUAGCGGUGAAAUGCGCAGAGAUAUGGAGGAACACCAGUGGCGAAGGCGACUUUCUGGUCUGUAACUGACGCUGAUGUGCGAAAGCGUGGGGAUCAAACAGGAUUAGAUACCCUGGUAGUCCACGCCGUAAACGAUGAGUGCUAAGUGUUAGGGGGUUUCCGCCCCUUAGUGCUGCAGCUAACGCAUUAAGCACUCCGCCUGGGGAGUACGACCGCAAGGUUGAAACUCAAAGGAAUUGACGGGGACCCGCACAAGCGGUGGAGCAUGUGGUUUAAUUCGAAGCAACGCGAAGAACCUUACCAAAUCUUGACAUCCUUUGAAAACUCUAGAGAUAGAGCCUUCCCCUUCGGGGGACAAAGUGACAGGUGGUGCAUGGUUGUCGUCAGCUCGUGUCGUGAGAUGUUGGGUUAAGUCCCGCAACGAGCGCAACCCUUAAGCUUAGUUGCCAUCAUUAAGUUGGGCACUCUAGGUUGACUGCCGGUGACAAACCGGAGGAAGGUGGGGAUGACGUCAAAUCAUCAUGCCCCUUAUGAUUUGGGCUACACACGUGCUACAAUGGACAAUACAAAGGGCAGCUAAACCGCGAGGUCAUGCAAAUCCCAUAAAGUUGUUCUCAGUUCGGAUUGUAGUCUGCAACUCGACUACAUGAAGCUGGAAUCGCUAGUAAUCGUAGAUCAGCAUGCUACGGUGAAUACGUUCCCGGGUCUUGUACACACCGCCCGUCACACCACGAGAGUUUGUAACACCCGAAGCCGGUGGAGUAACCAUUUAUGGAGCUAGCCGUCGAAGGGUGAUC